UUGGAAGAAAUUGUAAAUUUCUAUUUUUUUAUCAUUAUAUAGG
RNAcentral lists this transfer RNA (43 nucleotides) under Oribatula sp. XFX. RNAcentral describes it as "tRNA-Ser". The record is from RNAcentral. Lineage: Eukaryota; Metazoa; Arthropoda; Arachnida; Sarcoptiformes; Oribatulidae.